GUGGAUUAGAUACCCUGGUAGUCCACGCCGUAAACGUUGGGCACUAGGUGUGGGUCUCAACCAACGGGAUCCGUGCCGUAGCUAACGCAUUAAGUGCCCCGCCUGGGGAGUACGGCCGCAAGGCUAAAACUCAAAGGAAUUGACGGGGGCCCGCACAAGCGGCGGAGCAUGUUGCUUAAUUCGAGGCAACGCGAAGAACCUUACCUGGGCUUGACAUGUAGGGAAAAGCCGUAGAGAUACGGUGUCCUUCGGGGCCCUACACAGGUGGUGCACGGCCGUCGACAACU
RNAcentral lists this ribosomal RNA (287 nucleotides) under uncultured bacterium. RNAcentral describes it as "partial 16S ribosomal RNA". It matches the Rfam family "Bacterial small subunit ribosomal RNA", at positions 773 to 1060 of the family's 1533-position model. The record is from RNAcentral.